CCUACGGGGUGCAGCAGUGGGGGAUAUUGCACAAUGGGGGGAACCCUGAUGCAGCGACGCCGCGUGGGUGAAGGAGCGUUUCGGCGCGUAAAGCCCUAUCGGCAGGGAAGAAGAAGGACGGUACCUGACUAAGAAGCCCCGGCUAACUACGUGCCAGCAGCCGCGGUAAUACGUAGGGGGCAAGCGUUAUCCGGAUUUACUGGGUGUAAAGGGGGCGCAGACGGCAGCGCAAGCCAGGCGUGAAAGCCCGUGGCCCAACCCCGGGACUGCUCUUGGAACUGCGCGGCUGGAGGGCAGGAGGGGCAGGCGGAAUUCCUGGUGUAGCGGUGAAAUGCGUAGAUAUCAGGAGGAACACCGGUGGCGAAGGCGGCCGGCUGGACUGCGACUGACGUUGAGGCCCGAAAGCGUGGGGAGCAAACAGGAUUAGAGACCCCAGUAGUC
Molecule: ribosomal RNA, 441 nt
Filed under: uncultured bacterium
Lineage: Bacteria
Description: partial 16S ribosomal RNA
Rfam family: Bacterial small subunit ribosomal RNA
Source: RNAcentral